This is a long non-coding RNA of Sphaeramia orbicularis (orbiculate cardinalfish), 278 nucleotides long. RefSeq lists it as uncharacterized. The transcript has 3 exons. Lineage: Eukaryota; Metazoa; Chordata; Actinopteri; Kurtiformes; Apogonidae. The record is from RefSeq and is a predicted model, not a curated record.
UAACCGCAGCUUCACGUCGUCUCAGAGCCCCGCCCUCUAUCUGACUGUGGGAGACUUGGUGACAAAUCUGAUCAUCAGGGUGGUUGUGGUCCACUUCCUCCUGAUCACAGGGACCAUCUGCCUCUUCUUCUCCUGUCGGGUUUACCAGACUCAUGGUGUGGACCAGACCACCACAGAAGAACCACUGAGAACGGAAGAACGGCUGAGAGCAUGAGAACGGACCUGAACCCAUAACGGAAGAACUUAUUAUCUUAUUGUCCUGGUAAAAAAAUUCUGCA